Molecule: small RNA, 17 nt
Filed under: Arabidopsis thaliana (thale cress)
Lineage: Eukaryota; Viridiplantae; Streptophyta; Magnoliopsida; Brassicales; Brassicaceae
Description: ATSL247390
Source: RNAcentral
AAUACAACUGAAAAAAA